RNAcentral lists this ribosomal RNA (400 nucleotides) under uncultured bacterium. RNAcentral describes it as "bacterial SSU rRNA". It matches the Rfam family "Bacterial small subunit ribosomal RNA", at positions 975 to 1375 of the family's 1533-position model. The record is from RNAcentral.
CAGCCCUUGACAUGGUCGGACGGUUUCCAGAGAUGGAUUCCUUCACUUCGGUGACUGACACACAGGUGCUGCAUGGCUGUCGUCAGCUCGUGUCGUGAGAUGUUGGGUUAAGUCCCGCAACGAGCGCAACCCUCGCCUUUAGUUGCCAUCAUUUAGUUGGGCACUCUAGAGGGACUGCCGGUGAUAAGCCGGAGGAAGGUGGGGAUGACGUCAAGUCUUCAUGGCCCUUACGGGCUGGGCUACACACGUGCUACAAUGGCGGUGACAGAGGGCAGCUAGUCCGCGAGGACAUGCUAAUCCCAAAAAGCCGUCUCAGUUCGGAUUGCACUCUGCAACUCGAGUGCAUGAAGUUGGAAUUGCUAGUAAUCGUAGAUCAGCACGCUACGGUGAAUACGUUCCC